UGGGGAAUAUUGGACAAUGGGCGCAAGCCUGAUCCAGCCAUGCCGCGUGAGUGAUGAAGGCCCUAGGGUUGUAAAGCUCUUUCAGCGAGGAGGAUAAUGACGUUACUCGCAGAAGAAGCCCCGGCUAACUUCGUGCCAGCAGCCGCGGUAAUACGAAGGGGGCUAGCGUUGUUCGGAAUCACUGGGCGUAAAGCGCACGUAGGCGGACUUUUAAGUCAGGGGUGAAAUCCCGGGGCUCAACCUCGGAACUGCCUUUGAUACUGGAAGUCUGGAGUCCGAGAGAGGUGAGUGGAACUCCGAGUGUAGAGGUGAAAUUCGUAGAUAUUCGGAAGAACACCAGUGGCGAAGGCGGCUCACUGGCUCGGUACUGACGCUGAGGUGCGAAAGCGUGGGGAGCAAAACAGGAUUAGAUACCCUGGUAGUCCACGCCGUAAACGAUGGAAGCUAGCCGUCGGGGUGCAUGCAUCUUGGUGGCGCAGUUAACGCAUUAAGCUUCCCGCCUGGGGAGUACGGUCGCAAGAUUAAAACUUAAAGGAAUUGACGGGGUCAUAGCUGUUUCCU
RNAcentral lists this ribosomal RNA (561 nucleotides) under uncultured bacterium. RNAcentral describes it as "partial 16S ribosomal RNA". It matches the Rfam family "Bacterial small subunit ribosomal RNA", at positions 355 to 1375 of the family's 1533-position model. The record is from RNAcentral.